AUGCAAGGUCCUAUGGAACCCCGGAUAAUUAAUGGAGUCGAAAUCGUUUUUGGCACUAGAAGUGAAUGUGAUGUCCCAAGCUGGGAGUGUCCUCAUUGCCAUCAGAAGAUGAAAACUAUAAGAUUCCUUGUGUUUGAUUUCCCACCAUUGUACUGUGUUGGCUGUAAAUCUAUGAACCCAAAUAACUUUAGUUUAAACCUUGCAACUGUCUUGAUGAAUGGAAUUUCGAUUGUGGGUGAAGUCAAAGAACAAAAAAUCAAAGUAGGCGAUCCUGGUAAGUUCUUUUGUGCAUUUCAAAUCUGUCGUACAACAUCUGUUCUGCCUAUGGUAGUUUUCGUUCUUCCUCCUGACCAAUUUUGUGCUGAUUAA
RNAcentral lists this ribosomal RNA (369 nucleotides) under Triticum aestivum (bread wheat). RNAcentral describes it as "partial small subunit ribosomal RNA". The record is from RNAcentral. Lineage: Eukaryota; Viridiplantae; Streptophyta; Magnoliopsida; Poales; Poaceae.